AGAGUUUGAUCCUGGCUCAGGACGAACGCUGGCGGCGUGCCUAACACAUGCAAGUCGUACGGCCCGCCCGCUCUGGACCUUCGGGUCCAGAGCGGAUCACGGGCAGUGGCGGACGGGUGAGUAACGUGUGGGUAAUCUGCCUCGAGGAGAGGAAUAACCUGACGAAAGUUGGGCUAAUAUCUCAUACUGUCACUGAAGGGCAUCCUUCUGGUGAUGAAAGGUGGGCUUAGCACCACCACCUCGAGAGGGGCCCGCAUCGGAUUAGCCAGCUGGUGAGAUAACAGCUCACCAGGGCAACAAUCCGUAGCUGGUCUGAGAGGACGAUCAGCCACACUGGGACUGAGACACGGCCCAGACUCCUACGGGAGGCAGCAGUGGGGAAUCUUCUGCAAUGGGGGAAACCCUGACAGAGCGACGCCGCGUGAGUGAAGAAGGCCUUCGGGUUGUAAAGCUCUGUCACCGGGGAAGAAACACCAAUAGCCAAAUACUAUUGGUCUGACGGUACCUGGUGAGGAAGCCCUGGCUAACUACGUGCCAGCAGCCGCGGUAACACGUAGAGGGCAAGCGUUGUCCGGAAUUACUGGGCGUAAAGGACGCGCAGGCGGCAGGAUAAGUUGUCUGUGAAAACCUGGGGCUUAACCCCAGGCGUGCAGGCAAAACUAUCUUGCUUGAGGGCAGCAGAGGAGAGCGGAAUUCCUGGAGUAGUGGUGAAAUACGUAGAUAUCAGGAGGAACACCAGUGGCGAAGGCGGCUCUCUGGGCUGCCCCUGACGCUGAGGCGUGAAAGCCGAGGGAGCGAACGGGAUUAGAUACCCCGGUAGUCUCGGCUGUAAACACUGGACACUAGGUGUUGGGGGUUGAACUCCCUCAGUGCCGCAGUUAACGCAUUAAGUGUCCCGCCUGGGGAUUACGGUCGCAAGACUGAAACUCAAAGGAAUUGACGGGGGCCCGCACAAGCGGUGGAGCAUGUGGUUUAAUUCGAU
Molecule: ribosomal RNA, 982 nt
Filed under: Halanaerobiaceae bacterium
Lineage: Bacteria; Bacillati; Bacillota; Clostridia; Halanaerobiales; Halanaerobiaceae
Description: bacterial SSU rRNA
Rfam family: Bacterial small subunit ribosomal RNA
Source: RNAcentral